This 484-nucleotide ribosomal RNA is filed under the name uncultured bacterium. RNAcentral's name for it is "partial 16S ribosomal RNA". It matches the Rfam family "Bacterial small subunit ribosomal RNA", at positions 30 to 507 of the family's 1533-position model. The record is from RNAcentral.
AUUGAACGCUGGCGGCAGGCCUAACACAUGCAAGUCGAGCGGAUGAAGGGAGCUUGCUCCUGGAUUCAGCGGCGGACGGGUGAGUAAUGCCUAGGAAUCUGCCUGGUAGUGGGGGAUAACGUCCGGAAACGGGCGCUAAUACCGCAUACGUCCUGAGGGAGAAAGUGGGGGAUCUUCGGACCUCACGCUAUCAGAUGAGCCUAGGUCGGAUUAGCUAGUUGGUGGGGUAAAGGCCUACCAAGGCGACGAUCCGUAACUGGUCUGAGAGGAUGAUCAGUCACACUGGAACUGAGACGCGGUCCAGACUCCUACGGGAGGCAGCAGUGGGGAAUAUUGGACAAUGGGCGAAAGCCUGAUCCAGCCAUGCCGCGUGUGUGAAGAAGGUCUUCGGAUUGUAAAGCACUUUAAGUUGGGAGGAAGGGCAGUAAGUUAAUACCUUGCUGUUUUGACGAUACCAACAGAAUAAGCACCGGCUAACUUCGUG